RNAcentral lists this ribosomal RNA (482 nucleotides) under uncultured bacterium. RNAcentral's name for it is "partial 16S ribosomal RNA". It matches the Rfam family "Bacterial small subunit ribosomal RNA", at positions 30 to 507 of the family's 1533-position model. The record is from RNAcentral.
AUUGAACGCUGGCGGCAUGCCUUACACAUGCAAGUCGAACGGUAACGGGCCUUCGGGUGCCGACGAGUGGCGCACGGGUGAGUAAUACAUCGGAACGUGCCCGAUCGUGGGGGAUAACGAGGCGAAAGCUUUGCUAAUACCGCAUACGAUCUACGGAUGAGAGCAGGGGACCGCAAGGCCUUGCGCGGACGGAGCGGCCGAUGGCAGAUUAGGUAGUUGGUGGGAUAAAAGCUUACCAAGCCGACGAUCUGUAGCUGGUCUGAGAGGAUGAUCAGCCACACUGGGACUGAGACACGGCCCAGACUCCUACGGGAGGCAGCAGUGGGGAAUUUUGGACAAUGGGCGCAAGCCUGAUCCAGCCAUGCCGCGUGCAGGAUGAAGGCCUUCGGGUUGUAAACUGCUUUUGUACGGGACGAAAAGCCUUCUUUUAAUACAGGAGGGUCAUGACGGUACCGGAAGAAUAAGCACCGGCUAACUACGUG